Molecule: ribosomal RNA, 3256 nt
Filed under: Durio zibethinus
Lineage: Eukaryota; Viridiplantae; Streptophyta; Magnoliopsida; Malvales; Malvaceae
Description: eukaryotic LSU rRNA
Rfam family: Eukaryotic large subunit ribosomal RNA
Source: RNAcentral
CCCCAAGUUAGACAGGAUCACCCAUUGAGUUUAAACAUAUCAAUAAGUGGAGAAAAAGAAACUUACCAGGAUCCCCUUAGUAAUGGUGAUGAAAUCGAGAAUAGCCCAACUUGAGAAUCGAAUACCCCUGGCAUCCAAAUUGUAGUAUGGAGAAGCAUCCUUAGUGGCAGAUUAGGCUCAAGUCCCUUGGAAAAAGGUGUCAGAAUAGGUGAGAGCCUUGUUGUGCCUAGACCCUAUCACACCAUGAGGCAUGGUUUGCGAGUCAGGUUGUUUAGGAAUGUAGCCUCAAUCAGGCGAUAAAUUUUAUCCAAGGCUGAAUACAAGCGAGCGACCAAUAAUGAACAAGUAUCAUAAGGAAAAGGACUUUGAAAAGAAAGUCAAAGAGUUCUUGAAUUUGUUAAUCGAGAAGUGGAUGGGGGUUGAUAAUGUGCCAUGGUCAGAUGUGGAAUGAUAAGAGCUGAUCCAUCAAUCAACUUGGGGCGAAAACCAACAUGGGUUCCGGUGGCAGCCCAAGCUUAGGCUUUUGAUAUGCCCAUGGAGACAUGUCACCAUGAUCAUGGAACGUAGCACAUGUCAUCUCGAUAUGGCUCAGCAUUGACAUGCUUUCGACACUGACGGCUCAUGACAUCGACCUACAAGCUCCUCAUCUGGCCCAUCUUUAAACAAAAACCAAGGAGUCUAACAUGUGUGUGAGUCAAUGGGCUAGAAAACCCAUAAGGCAUAAGGAAGCUAAUUAGUAGAAUCCUUUAUGGGUGCAUCACUGACUGACCUUGAUCUUUUAAGAAGGUUUCAAGUGCGAGCAUGCCUCUCGGGACCCAAAAGAUGGUGAACUAUGCCUAAGAGGGGUGAAGCCAGAGGAAACUCUAGUGGAGGCCUACAGUGACACUGACAUGCAAAUCAUUCAUCUAACUUGGAUAUAGGGUCAAAAGACUAAUCGAACCAUCUAGUAACUAGUUCCUUCCGAAGUUUCCCUUAGGAUAGCUAGAGCCCGUAACGAGUUUUAUCGGGUAAAGCUAGUGAUUAGAGGCAUUGGGGGCAUAAUGCCCUCAACCUAUUCUCAAACUUUAAAUAGGUAGGAUGGUAUGGCUGCUUUGUUAAGCCAUGCCAUAAAAUUGAGAGCUCCAAAUGGGCCAUUUUUGGUAAGGAAAACUAACGAUAUGAGAUGAAGAAGAAGUCGGGUUCUAGUGCCUAAGUACAUGCUAACCUAGAACCCAAAAAGCAUGUUGGUCGAUUACGACAGUAAGACGGUGGUUAUGGAAGUUAAAAUCCAUUAAAGAGUGUGUAACAACUCACUUGUCGAAUCAACUAGCCCUAAAAAUGAAUGGCACUUAAGCGCGUGACCUAUACCUGAUUAUCGGGCAAGGGCCAAGCCCCAAUGAGUAGAAGGGCACAAUGGUCAACAUAAAACCUAGGACGCAAACCCAAGUGGAGUGACCAUCGGUGCAAAUCUUGGUGGUGGUAGCAAAUAUUCAAAUAAGAACUUUGAAGGCCAAAGAGGGGAAAGGGUCAAUGUGAAUGACACUUGCACAUGGGUUAGUUGAUCCUAAGAGAUGUGGGAAGCCCAUCCAAAAGCAUGUCUAGCACAUGCUUCGAAAAGGAAUUAGGUUAAAAUUCUUAAAUUGAGAUACGAUGGUUGAUGGCAACAUUAAGGAGUCUAGAGAUAUCAGCGGGGGCCUUAAGAAAGGUUAUCUUUUUUGUUUAGUGGCCUACCCACCAUAGAAAUAGCUAAGCCAAAGGUAAGGUCCAAUGGCCAAAAAAGCAUCGCACUCAUUUAGUGUUCGGUGUGCCCCCGACAACCCUUGAAAAUCUAAAGACCGAGUGUCAUCUGCAUCCGGUCAUACUCAUAACUACAUUAGGUUUCCAAGGUGAACAGCCUUUGGUCGAUGGAACAAUAUAGGAAAGGGAAGUUGGCAAAAUGGAUUCGUAACCUUAGGAAAAGGAUUGGCUUUAAAGGCUAGGCAUAGGGCUCCCAAUCCCAAACCCAUCAACUACCGAUGCACUACUUGAGCUACUCUUGUGGUGAGAGUGGGUCAUUAUAUACCGGCUAGGGAUAGACUAGGAAUGGCUCCCUGGGGGCCUUCCCCAAGUGAUGAACAGUCAACUUAAAACUGGUACAAACAAGGGGAAUCUGACUGUUCAAUUAAAACAAAGUAUUGUGAUAGUCCUUGCAGAUGCUCAUGCAAUGUGAUUUCUGCCUAGUGCUCUAAAUGUCAAAGUGAAGAAAUUCAACCAAGCGCAGGUAAACGGUUGGGGUAACUAUGACUCUCUUAAGUAGCCAAAUGCCUCAUCAUCUAAUUAGUGAUGCACAUGAAUGAAUUAAUGAGAUUCCCACUAUCCUUGUCCACUAUCCAGCGAAACCAUAACCAAGGGAACUGGCUUGGUAAAAUCAACAAGGAAAAAAGACCCUGUUGAGCUUGACUCUAGUCCGACUUUGUGAAAUGACUUGAGAGGUGUAGGAUAAGUGGGAGCCCUUGGGUGAAACUGAAAUACCACUACUUUUAAUGUUAUUUUACUUAUUCCAUGAAUCGAAGGCCAGGCACAACCCUAUCUUUUGGACCUAAGGUCGACCUCAGUUGAUCAAUUUGGGAGGAAAACAUUAUCAGGUGGGGAGUUUGGUUGGGGUGGCACAUCUGUUAAAAGAUAAUAUAGGUGUCCUAAGAUAAGCUCAACGAGAAUAGAAAAUCUCAUGUGGAACAAAAGGGUAAAAGCUUGUUUGAUUCUAAUUUCUAGUAUGAAUACGAAUCGCGAAAGUGUGGCCUAUCAAUCCUUUAGACCUUCAAAUUUUGAAGCUAGAGGUGUUAGAAAAGUUACCACAAGGAUAACUAGCUUGUGGUAGCCAAGCGUUCAUAGAAAUGUUGCUUUUUGAUCCUUCGAUGUUGGCUCUUCCUAUCAUUAUAAAGCAGAAUUCACCAAGUGUUGGAUUGCUCACCCACUAAUAGGGAAUGUAAGCUGGGUUUAGAACAUCAUGAGACAGGUUAGUUUUACCUUACUGAUGGUAACAUCACAAAAGUAAUUCAACCUAGUACGAGAAGAACCAUUGAUUCACACAAUUGGUCAUCGUGCUUGGUUGAAAAGCCAGUGGCAUAAAGCUAUCAUGCGCUGGAUUAUGACUAAAUGCCUCUAAGUUAGAAUCUAGGCUAGUAGCAACACACACGUCCAUCACCCGAUUACCAACCCAUAGUAGGGGCCUAUUACCCCUAAGGGCAUGUGUCGUAGGUGUAGCCCCCAUAAUGUACAAGCCAUACGAGCCUCCCUG